UGUGGGAGCGAGCUUGCUCGCGAUAGCGGUGUGUCAGUUAGCACAAAGGCUGCUGACCCAACGCAAUCGCGAGCAAGCUCGCUCCCACA
Molecule: unclassified non-coding RNA, 89 nt
Filed under: Pseudomonas brassicacearum
Lineage: Bacteria; Pseudomonadati; Pseudomonadota; Gammaproteobacteria; Pseudomonadales; Pseudomonadaceae
Source: RNAcentral